This 253-nucleotide ribosomal RNA is filed under the name uncultured bacterium. RNAcentral describes it as "partial 16S ribosomal RNA". It matches the Rfam family "Bacterial small subunit ribosomal RNA", at positions 524 to 776 of the family's 1533-position model. The record is from RNAcentral.
UACGUAGGUGGCAAGCGUUAUCCGGAUUUACUGGGUGUAAAGGGCGUGUAGGCGGGGACGCAAGUCAGGUGUGAAAACCACGGGCUCAACUUGUGGCCUGCAUUUGAAACUGUGUUUCUUGAGUACUGGAGAGGCAGACGGAAUUCCUAGUGUAGCGGUGAAAUGCGUAGAUAUUAGGAGGAACACCAGUGGCGAAGGCGGUCUGCUGGACAGCAACUGACGCUGAGGCGCGAAAGCGUGGGGAGCAAACAGG